RNAcentral lists this ribosomal RNA (372 nucleotides) under uncultured bacterium. Its description in RNAcentral is "bacterial SSU rRNA". It matches the Rfam family "Bacterial small subunit ribosomal RNA", at positions 29 to 414 of the family's 1533-position model. The record is from RNAcentral.
AACGAACGCUGGCGGCAUGCCUAACACAUGCAAGUCGAACGAGACCAAGGCUUCGGCCUGAAGUCUAGUGGCGCACGGGUGCGUAACGCGUGGGAAUCUACCCUUGGGUUCGGAAUAACAGUUAGAAAUGACUGCUAAUACCGGAUGAUGACGUAAGUCCAAAGAUUUAUCGCCCAGGGAUGAGCCCGCGUAAGAUUAGCUUGUUGGUGAGGUAAAGGCUCACCAAGGCGACGAUCUUUAGCUGGUCUGAGAGGAUGAUCAGCCACACUGGGACUGAGACACGGCCCAGACUCCUACGGGAGGGCAGCAGUGGGGAAGUAAUUGGACAAUGGGCGAAAGCCUGAUCCAGCAAUGCCGCGUGAGUGAUGAAGG